UACGGAGGGGGCUAGCGUUGUUCGGAAUUACUGGGCGUAAAGCGCACGUAGGCGGCUUUGCAAGUUAGAGGUGAAAGCCCGGGGCUCAACUCCGGAAUUGCCUUUAAAACUGCAUCGCUAGAAUUGUGGAGGAGGUAAGUGGAAUUCCGAGUGUAGAGGUGAAAUUCGUAGAUAUUCGGAAGAACACCAGUGGCGAAGGCGACUUACUGGACACAUAUUGACGCUGAGGUGCGAAAGCGUGGGAGCAACAGG
RNAcentral lists this ribosomal RNA (252 nucleotides) under uncultured bacterium. RNAcentral's name for it is "partial 16S ribosomal RNA". It matches the Rfam family "Bacterial small subunit ribosomal RNA", at positions 524 to 776 of the family's 1533-position model. The record is from RNAcentral.